GAUGAAGAACGUAGUGAAAUGCGAUACGUAAUGUGAAUUGCAAAUUCAGUGAAUCAUCGAGUCUUUGAACGCACAUUGCGCCCCCUGGUAUUCCGGGGGGCAUGCCUGUCCGAGCGUCAUUGCUGCCCUCAAGCACGGCUUGUGUGUUGGGCCCCGUCCUCCGAUCCCGGGGGACGGGCCCGAAAGGCAGCGGCGGCACCGCGUCCGGUCCUCGAGCGUAUGGGGCUUUGUCACCCGCUCUGUAGGCCCGGCCGGCGCUUGCCGAUCAACCCAAAUUUUUAUCCAGGUUGACCUCGGAUCAGGUAGGGAUACCCGCUGAACUUAAGCAUAUCGAUAAGCGGAGGA
This 345-nucleotide unclassified non-coding RNA is filed under the name soil metagenome. RNAcentral describes it as "partial contains 5.8S ribosomal RNA, internal transcribed spacer 2, and large subunit ribosomal RNA". The stretch from base 1 to 119 matches the Rfam family "5.8S ribosomal RNA", at positions 35 to 154 of the family's 154-position model. The record is from RNAcentral.